This 427-nucleotide ribosomal RNA is filed under the name uncultured Solirubrobacter sp. RNAcentral describes it as "bacterial SSU rRNA". It matches the Rfam family "Bacterial small subunit ribosomal RNA", at positions 355 to 774 of the family's 1533-position model. Lineage: Bacteria; Bacillati; Actinomycetota; Thermoleophilia; Solirubrobacterales; Solirubrobacteraceae. The record is from RNAcentral.
UGGGGAAUCUUGCGCAAUGCGCGAAAGCGUGACGCAGCAACGCCGCGUGGGGGAAGAAGGCCUUCGGGUUGUAAACCCCUUUCAGUUGGGACGAAGCUUCGCGGGUUAAUAGCCCGCUGGAGUGACGGUACCUUCAGAAGAAGCUCCGGCUAACUACGUGCCAGCAGCCGCGGUAAUACGUAGGGGGCUAGCGUUGUCCGGAAUCAUUGGGCGUAAAGCGCGUGUAGGCGGUCCGGUAAGUCCGCUGUGAAAGUCGGGGGCUCAACCCUCGGAUGCCGGUGGAUACUGUCGGGCUUGAGUACGGAAGAGGCGAGUGGAAUUCCUGGUGUAGCGGUGAAAUGCGCAGAUAUCAGGAGGAACACCAAUUGCGAAGGCAGCUCGCUGGGACGUUACUGACGCUGAGACGCGAAAGCGUGGGGAGCAAACA